GUAAUCGUGGCCGAGUGGUCUAGACGAUGGACUUGAAAUCCAUUGUGGUUUCCUCGCGCAGGUUUGAAUCCUGCAGACUACG
Non-coding RNA from Polyodon spathula (Mississippi paddlefish), 82 nucleotides. The record is from the annotation of a RefSeq genome assembly. Lineage: Eukaryota; Metazoa; Chordata; Actinopteri; Acipenseriformes; Polyodontidae.